Molecule: ribosomal RNA, 445 nt
Filed under: uncultured bacterium
Lineage: Bacteria
Description: partial 16S ribosomal RNA
Rfam family: Bacterial small subunit ribosomal RNA
Source: RNAcentral
GUGAGGAAUAUUGGUCAAUGGGCGAGAGCCUGAACCAGCCAAGUCGCGUGAAGGAAGAAGGAUCUAUGGUUCGUAAACUUCUUUUGCAGGGGAAUAAAGUGCGGGACGUGUCCUGUUUUGUAUGUACCCUGAGAAUAAGGAUCGGCUAACUCCGUGCCAGCAGCCGCGGUAAUACGGAGGAUCCGAGCGUUAUCCGGAUUUAUUGGGUUUAAAGGGUGCGUAGGUGGUUUGAUAAGUCAGCGGUGAAAGUUUGCAGCUUAACUGUAAAAAUGCCGUUGAAACUGUCGGACUUGAGUGUAAAUGAGGUAGGCGGAAUGCGUUGUGUAGCGGUGAAAUGCAUAGAUAUCACGCAGAACUCCGAUUGCGAAGGCAGCUUACUAAGCUACAACUGACACUGAAGCACGAAAGCGUGGGGAUCAAACAGGAUUAGAAACCCGUGUAGUCC